Mesocricetus auratus (golden hamster) is the source of this 944-nucleotide long non-coding RNA. RefSeq lists it as uncharacterized. NCBI's taxonomy places the organism in Eukaryota, Metazoa, Chordata, Mammalia, Rodentia, Cricetidae. The record is from RefSeq and is a predicted model, not a curated record. The transcript has 4 exons.
UCGAGUCAUUCUAUAAUACAGGGAGACCUAGGACUCUGAUGUGACAAGUCCCAAGCAAGACCACACCAAUGAGCAGGAAUAAGUCCGCCAAAGGCAGCAUCCUAAAGCAGUGAGAAACCCAGCACAAUGGAAAAAUCCCAGAAUCUAUGAGGGUGACCCUAGCUGAGACUCUUAGUAGAGGGGGAUAAAGAGCCUGAACUGGCCACCUCCUGUAACCAGGAAAGUCCGUUUUGUCUGAGAAUGCAGUUCCUGGUGAGCCAGCCACUCUUAAGUCGAAGGCCACACAUCCAAGAUCAAUUGUGCAGCACAAACCGAUCUUCAUGAGUAUCAGAAGACAGAAGUCCUGCUUCCAGAUAAACCUGUUUCCUUCCCUGGGUCCCCUGCAGCAACCCUCAGAGCCAGCACGCUGCAGCUGCCUUCUUACCUUCGGCUCCUGUCUCCUUCCAAAGUCCAGUCAAAUCAACCUUUACCUUUUUACUUCACUUGUCAUUUUCCAGCUGGAAAACAACAAAUUCGAUCGCUGGUACAUAAGCAACAUCUGCUGCUAGAUCUCCCAACUGGCAGGCCUGUUUCAUGUCUUGCAGCCAAACAUCAAGGGAUGAGUUUAUGUGUGUAUCUUUCCCUUUGUAUUAAUAAUAAGUGGGUCAUUAUGGCUAUAUAAUGAGAGAGUGGCCUGAUAUGUCUUGUCACUUCCUUACCAAAUCCAUCUCAUAUGUGAUCCAUUAAGUGGCAGGGCAUUUUCCUCUUAGCCAUGUAGUAUCAUUUAGCUUCAUCCAAAUGAAACUCACUCUACAGCCAUCAACUUUAUUACUAACACCAUCAACUUCACUGUUAUCCCCUGUUAUGGUGCAUAGGGUGUUAUACCCAGGAUGGUCCUAUACAACAGCAUCAGAGGCUCAUCCAUGGGAGUUCAUAGGCACAGUUUUACUACACAAAACAGCCAC